Panicum virgatum (switchgrass) is the source of this 110-nucleotide small nucleolar RNA. RefSeq annotates it as small nucleolar RNA snoR31/Z110/Z27. Lineage: Eukaryota; Viridiplantae; Streptophyta; Magnoliopsida; Poales; Poaceae. The record is from RefSeq and is a predicted model, not a curated record. The transcript has a single exon.
AUUAUCAGAUGAUGAAACCUCGAAACAAUCUUAGGACACCUUCUGACACAGUGCUAUUACCCUGCGCAGCUGCGCUGUGAAUGAGAAGGCAAUUCUUAUCUGAUGAUGCU